Molecule: long non-coding RNA, 615 nt
Organism: Raphanus sativus (radish)
Lineage: Eukaryota; Viridiplantae; Streptophyta; Magnoliopsida; Brassicales; Brassicaceae
Exons: 2
Source: RefSeq, a predicted model, not a curated record
UCUACAUGCUCUUUAGACAUCUCUUCUUCUCUCAUCUCUCUUUUCUUUUAUUUUCUUUUUCCUCUCUCUUUUUAUCUCACAUAAAUUCUUUCUCACAUAAAUCCAUAUGGUGCCUCAAAGCAAUCUAUGGUCUAGGGUUUGUUUUGAAGACUGAUUCUAGCACACAGAGGAAGAUCUGUGCAUCAAGAAUGAAAAACAUGGGCUAUAUAUAUGUUUAUGGUUUUAUGCUCUAUAUAAUAUACUCAGAUUAUUUUCAUAUACUAACUGUAUAUGUCCAUAUGCUUAUAUAUACACACACAUAUAUAGAUGUAGAAAUGUCGAUAUGGGUUGGUGGGGGAAGGGAGCUUUCUUCGGUCCACUCAUAGAAUAAUAUGAUUCAGUGGUGGACCUCCCUGAACAUCUUCGAGACUAAUCUAUGAAGGUUUAUCUUUUUCUUUGUAAUGGGUUCGGAUCUAAGGAAAUGAAGUUUCACUACUAGAAGCAAUAACAAUAUACAAUAUAAGGUUUUUACUAGCUCAUUCGUCCAAAUAACUUCGUUUCUUUCUAUUCCAUGUAGACCAUCAUGUUUUUGGCUUUCGCUCAAUUAAAUGCGACUUGCAAAUAGAUUAUAAGCUA